Molecule: non-coding RNA, 479 nt
Organism: Pelobates cultripes (western spadefoot toad)
Lineage: Eukaryota; Metazoa; Chordata; Amphibia; Anura; Pelobatidae
Source: the annotation of a GenBank genome assembly
AUCUUAUCGCACAAACAAUAAAAUGUAUAUACAAUAGCUAUAGAUUCAGUCAUGCAUUGCAGAUACUAAAACAACUUUAGCUUAAUGAAUCAGUUUUGGUAUAUAGAUCAUGCAUAUGCAGUCUUACUGCUCAAUUCUCUGCCAUUUAGGAGUUAAAUCAGUUUGUUUAUACAGCCGUAGUCACACCUCCCUGCAUGUGACUUGCACAGCCUUUCUAAACACUUCCUGAAACAUAACCUAGAAAUUCUAGGUUCCUGUAUUGUACAGUCUGUCUUAUAUAAUAUUUCUGUGCCUCCUGUGUGUGUGGUUAAAGUUCAAUUUACAAAGCAGGAGAUAAAAACUUCUAAAGCAACUUAAUGUCUGAAAGUGAAACAAUUUUUUUUCCAUGCAGGCUGUGUCAGUAGGGCUGUAUAAACAGAAAUAAAAGUGAUUUAACUCUUAAAUGGUAGAGAAAUAGCAUUAAAACAGCAGAGGGCAUG